AAACAAUCUAUAUGACAAUACAAACCAAAAAGUUAUAAAGUAUGAGGAAUUACACAAGUUGGAAUAACAGAAACACCAAAACAAUCUCUUAGAAGGCUAAUAUUACUAUUGAAAGGACUAAUAUGGUAUGUUCUUAGGGAGGUUACGAAUGACGUUGCUUUUCAUGCCAAUCUUACUGCGCAUUAUCUCCACACCAGACUUGUUCAUGGCUCUCAACACCUUCAACUUAACCAUUUGCUCUCUUGACUGCACAGUUGCAAGACCCAUGCUUCGGUACCUUGCAGCUAAUGCAGCACUUAUAGCCACAUCAUUGGUCCGUGUAGGCCUCAGUUUCUGUCGGUAGUAACGCAAAAACUCUCUUGAUCCAAGAGUCCUAACAGAUCUUCCAUCAUUAUUUCUUCUUGUUAUUAUGAGCUCAGAUCCACCACUUCCAAGUUCCACACUGUUGCCCGUGUCAUCCGAUGAAAUGAGCUGUUUCCCAGAUUCAUCAACAAAGCUGCUGCUAUAGUCAUAAAACUCUUCUAAUUCAGCUUCUUCAU
RNAcentral lists this unclassified non-coding RNA (539 nucleotides) under Hevea brasiliensis (rubber tree). The record is from RNAcentral. Lineage: Eukaryota; Viridiplantae; Streptophyta; Magnoliopsida; Malpighiales; Euphorbiaceae.